AGCCUUAGGAUAAUUAUCUAAGGUCAGACCUGCCCAAUGUAUAUUUAAUGAAUGKCCGCGGUACUUUGACCGUGCUAAGGUAGCGCAAUCAAUUGGCUUYUAAUUGGAGUCAGGUAUGAAAGGAGUCWCGGAGUUUAGCUGUCUCCUGGUUAUUAUAUUGAAAUUACUAUGUAGGUGAAAAAGCCUGCAAAAAGAAAAAGGACGAGAAGACCCUUASAGUUUUACUAAAAUUGGAAGUAAAUUAUUAAAUUUUCCAAAGCGGUUYUGUUGGGGCAACACAGGAACAGGUUAAAAUUUAAUCUCCUAAUGAUCACAAAUCGAUUAUAUUAGAAUUGAAUAAACUWCCUUAGGGAUAACAGCAUAAUUYUAUAAAUAAGUUUGUGACCUCGAUGUUGGMCUAGGAAACUGGAAGGCUAGCCGCCUUCUAGGUAAGUCGUCGAACUAUUAA
This 448-nucleotide ribosomal RNA is filed under the name Kaloplocamus japonicus. RNAcentral's name for it is "Kaloplocamus sp. c JW-2022 partial large subunit ribosomal RNA". The record is from RNAcentral. Lineage: Eukaryota; Metazoa; Mollusca; Gastropoda; Nudibranchia.